UACGGAGGGUGCAAGCGUUAUCCGGAUUCACUGGGUGUAAAGGGUGCGUAGGUGGGCUGGUAAGUCCGUGGUGAAAUCUCCGAGCUUAACUCGGAAACUGCCGUGGAUACUAUUAGUCUUGAAUACUGUGGAGGUAAGCGGAAUAUGUCAUGUAGCGGUGAAAUGCUUAGAUAUGACAUAGAACACCGAUAGCGAAGGCAGCUUGCUACACAGUCAUUGACACUGAGGCACGAAAGCGUGGGGAGCAAACAGG
This 253-nucleotide ribosomal RNA is filed under the name uncultured bacterium. Its description in RNAcentral is "partial 16S ribosomal RNA". It matches the Rfam family "Bacterial small subunit ribosomal RNA", at positions 524 to 776 of the family's 1533-position model. The record is from RNAcentral.